Molecule: ribosomal RNA, 502 nt
Filed under: uncultured bacterium
Lineage: Bacteria
Description: bacterial SSU rRNA
Rfam family: Bacterial small subunit ribosomal RNA
Source: RNAcentral
AGAGUUUGAUCAUGGCUCAGAUUCAACGCUGGCGGUAUGCUUAACACAUGCAAGUCGAACGGUAACAGUCCCUCACCUAGAAAUUUCUUAAAAAGAGAUUUGUAGGUGAGGGAGCUGACGAGUGGCGGACGGGUGCGUAAUGUAUAGGAAUCUGCCUAGUAGUGGGGGACAACUCGGAGAAAUUCGAGCUAAUACCGCAUAAGCCCUACGGGGGAAAACGGGGGAUCUUCGGACCUCGUGCUAUUAGAUGAGCCUAUAUUAGAUUAGCUUGUUGGUGAGGUAAUGGCUCACCAAGGCGACGAUCUAUAGCUGGUCUGAGAGGAUGAUCAGCCACACUGGGACUGAGACACGGCCCAGACUCCUACGGGAGGCAGCAGUGGGGAAUAUUGGACAAUGGGCGAAAGCCUGAUCCAGCAAUACCGCGUGUGUGAAGAAGGCCUGAGGGUUGUAAAGCACUUUCAAUUGGGAGGAAUACCUAAUAGUUAAUAGCUAUUAGAUUGAC